RNAcentral lists this transfer RNA (72 nucleotides) under Photonectes margarita. RNAcentral's name for it is "tRNA-Val". It matches the Rfam family "tRNA". Rfam says of the family: Transfer RNA (tRNA) molecules are approximately 80 nucleotides in length. Their secondary structure includes four short double-helical elements and three loops (D, anti-codon, and T loops). Lineage: Eukaryota; Metazoa; Chordata; Actinopteri; Stomiiformes; Stomiidae. The record is from RNAcentral.
CAGAGCGUAGCCAAAACAGUAAAGCAUUUCCCUUACACUGAAAAGACACCCGUGCAAUUCGGGUCGCCCUGA